UAAUACGGAGGGUGCAAGCGUUAUCCGGAUUUACUGGGUUUAAAGGGUGUGUAGGCGGACUGGAAAGUCAGAGGUGAAAUCUCCGAGCUUAACUCGGAAACUGCCCCUGAUACUAUUAGUCUUGAAUAUCGUUGAGGUAGGCGGAAUACAACAUGUAGCGGUGAAAUGCUUAGAUAUGUUGUAGAACACCGAUUGCGAAGGCAGCUUACUAAACGAUGAUUGACGCUGAGGCACGAAAGCGUGGGGAUCAAACAGGAUUAGAUACCCUGGUAGUCCACGCCCUAAACGAUGAUUACUCGUCAUUGGCGAUACACUGUCAGUGACUAAGCGAAAGCAUUAAGUAAUCCACCUGGGAAGUACGUUCGCAAGAAUGAAACUCAAAUGAAUUGACGG
Molecule: ribosomal RNA, 393 nt
Filed under: uncultured bacterium
Lineage: Bacteria
Description: bacterial SSU rRNA
Rfam family: Bacterial small subunit ribosomal RNA
Source: RNAcentral